Long non-coding RNA from Lepidothrix coronata (blue-crowned manakin), 478 nucleotides. RefSeq lists it as uncharacterized. The record is from RefSeq and is a predicted model, not a curated record. The transcript has 3 exons. Lineage: Eukaryota; Metazoa; Chordata; Aves; Passeriformes; Pipridae.
UAACUAUUUCAGCAAAAGGUGAAAGUGGCACUUGCUGCAGUUUGUGACACCUUCAAAGAGCAGCUCACCACCUGAGUGCCUCACUGUGAUGGGCUUGCCAGUAUCACAUAAGUUCACAACCUUUCAGUAUAUUUAUACCUCCAAUUUGCUCAUAAAUAUUCUUUGAGCUUUUGCAUGAGAAAUAAUGUCGAGGACUCUAAGCUGUGAGCCUGAACAUGUGAACGUGCCUAACAAAUUUGAGGAGAUGUCAACUUCCACCAAGGAUAAAAUCACAGCUUACUGCCCCUCCUGCAAGCACAGAAGCAGGGACUCUUCUUCCCAAGUCAAUGGCUUUUGUUGUGGACUUGUCAGAAAUGGUACCAUCUCCUCACCCCAGGAUUAGCACAGAGCUGUCUGGGCCAGAGACAGCAGCUGGAGAAGACACCUGCUCCAGGAGAAAGGAUGCAUCCAAUAGAGAUGGAGAUCUCCAUCAUGGUUC